UACAGAGGUGGCAAGCGUUGUUCGGAUUUAUUGGGCGUAAAGGGUCCGUAGGCGGUACGGAAAGUCGGAUGUGAAAUCCUACAGCUUAACUGUAGAACUGCAUUCGAAACUUCCGAACUCGAGUAUGAGAGGGGUAAGGGGAAUUCCCGGUGUAAGGGUGAAAUCUGCAGAGAUCGGGAGGAACACCAGUCGCGAAGGCGCCUUACUGGCUCAUUACUGACGCUCAGGGACGAAAGCUAGGGGAGCAAACGGG
This 253-nucleotide ribosomal RNA is filed under the name uncultured bacterium. Its description in RNAcentral is "partial 16S ribosomal RNA". It matches the Rfam family "Bacterial small subunit ribosomal RNA", at positions 524 to 776 of the family's 1533-position model. The record is from RNAcentral.